This 464-nucleotide ribosomal RNA is filed under the name uncultured bacterium. RNAcentral describes it as "bacterial SSU rRNA". It matches the Rfam family "Bacterial small subunit ribosomal RNA", at positions 330 to 792 of the family's 1533-position model. The record is from RNAcentral.
CCCAGACUCCUACGGGAGGCAGCAGUGAGGAAUAUUGGUCAAUGGUCGGGAGACUGAACCAGCCAAGCCGCGUGAGGGAUGAAGGUACAGAGUAUCGUAAACCUCUUUUGUCAGGGAGCAAGGGCGGGGACGUGUCCCCGGAUGAGUGUACCUGAAGAAAAAGCAUCGGCUAACUCCGUGCCAGCAGCCGCGGUAAUACGGAGGAUGCGAGCGUUAUCCGGAUUUAUUGGGUUUAAAGGGUGCGCAGGCGGUCUGUUAAGUCAGCGGUCAAAGCCCGGGGCUCAACCCCGGUCCGCCGUUGAAACUGGCGUUCUUGAGUGAGCGAGAAGUAUGCGGAAUGCGUGGUGUAGCGGUGAAAUGCAUAGAUAUCACGCAGAACUCCGAUUGCGAAGGCAGCAUACCGGCGCUCAACUGACGCUCAUGCACGAAAGCGUGGGUAUCGAACAGGAUUAGAUACCCCCGUA